RNAcentral lists this ribosomal RNA (465 nucleotides) under uncultured bacterium. RNAcentral describes it as "partial 16S ribosomal RNA". It matches the Rfam family "Bacterial small subunit ribosomal RNA", at positions 339 to 795 of the family's 1533-position model. The record is from RNAcentral.
CUACGGGGUGCACCAGUGAGGAAUUUUGCGCAAUGGGGGGAACCCUGACGCAGCAACGCCGCGUGAGUGAUGAAGGCUUUCGGGUCGUAAAGCUCUGUCAAGUGGGAAGAACCUAUGCAGUGUUAAUAUCACUGUAUAAUGACGGUACCACUGAAGGAAGCACCGGCUAACUCCGUGCCAGCAGCCGCGGUAAUACGGGGGGUGCAAGCGUUAUUCGGAAUCAUUGGGCGUAAAGGGCACGUAGGCGGCUUGGUAAGUCAGAUGUGAAAGCCCGGGGCUUAACCCCGGAAGUGCAUUUGGUACUGUCAGGCUUGAGUAUGGGAGAGGGAAGUGGAAUUCCUGGUGUAGAGGUGAAAUUCGUAGAUAUCAGGAGGAACACCGGUGGCGAAGGCGACUUCCUGGACCAAUACUGACGCUGAGGUGCGAAGGCGUGGGUAGCAAACAGGAUUAGAUACCCCGGUAGUC